RNAcentral lists this ribosomal RNA (337 nucleotides) under Sphaerellopsis macroconidialis. Its description in RNAcentral is "partial large subunit ribosomal RNA". It matches the Rfam family "Eukaryotic large subunit ribosomal RNA", at positions 321 to 675 of the family's 3401-position model. Lineage: Eukaryota; Fungi; Ascomycota; Dothideomycetes; Pleosporales; Leptosphaeriaceae. The record is from RNAcentral.
UACUGGCCAGAGACCGAUAGCGCACAAGUAGAGUGAUCGAAAGAUGAAAAGCACUUUGGAAAGAGAGUCAAAUAGCACGUGAAAUUGUUGAAAGGGAAGCGCUUGCAGCCAGACUUGCCUGUAGUUGCUCAUCUGGGCUUUUGCCCGGUGCACUCUUCUACAGGCAGGCCAGCAUCAGUUUGGGCGGUUGGAUAAAGGUCUCUGACACGUUCCUCUCUUCGGGGAGGCCAUAUAGGGGAGGCGACAUACAACCAGCCUGGACUGAGGUCCGCGCAUUUGCUAGGAUGCUGGCGUAAUGGCUGUAAGCGGCCCGUCUUGAAACACGGACCAAGGAGUC